RNAcentral lists this ribosomal RNA (639 nucleotides) under Triticum aestivum (bread wheat). Its description in RNAcentral is "partial small subunit ribosomal RNA". The record is from RNAcentral. Lineage: Eukaryota; Viridiplantae; Streptophyta; Magnoliopsida; Poales; Poaceae.
AUGGCCUUCGCUGGGCGUGAUGCCACCUACUUCCUCAAGUGCAAGAUGGUCUUCUUCGGCACACCAAGGUUGAUUGCCGACGAGAUGGUCACCCUCUCUAGUGCACACGCCAUUGGAAUGUCCCAUUCCUCCUCCUCCUCCUCCUCCUCCUCCUCAUCCUUCUCCGACUACCUCAACGCAAGCACCUCUGACAUGGGACCCACACUAAUGAGUUCUCUCGUGGAGCAAUGCGGGCCAGACAUAGGAAGUGACAACAUGGUGGUGCGGGAUGUCAAGACCCCUAACAAGGUCGACAACAAGCACUACAAUAAUAUGUUUAGCCAUCAUGUGCUCUUCAUGUUGGAUUCCAUGCUCAUGGCAUUAGAUGAUACAAGUGUGGCGGUGCAUGCCAAUGCCAACAACAAUGGUGUGUGGGGGGAGAAGUUCAAGGCAGCGAUGGUAAGGAUGGGUGCUAUCGAAGUCAAGACCAGUGCCAAUGGAUUUUGCUGUGUACAAGAUAAAAUGUUAUUCAUUUGGGUUAACCAAUUAGAUCAUUUUGAAUUUUCGGAGCAUGCCACCAAAUGGUCAUCUUCCUCCCACACUAUCUUCCUCCUCUCCCAUGACGGCUCCUCCUCCUUUCCGUGGCUUAUGCAGGCCUAA